AGCUGCUCUGCCUGUGAAUCAGCACUCUGAGCGCCUCCAGGCUGGGGCUCAUGGUGGAGACAACACGGAGGUGAUGCAGUUCCUGUCUUCCAAGUGCUUCCGGGUGGGGGUGGGGGGGCAAUGAGAGAGAGUGGCCUACGCUCGGGGGAUCGGCACAGAGCCCACUGCCCCGAGGAGGCUGGCAGUGGGCAGAAGAGAAUCCCCAAGCAGAGGGAGCAGAUGGGCCAGGGUUGGGAGGGGGCACAGCCUGCUACCCUGGUCGUGCAGUCGGCGUCGUGGCCCUGCCAGCCCCAGCUGGCUAUGCACAGUCGCAGAUCUUCAGUCUGUCCAUCUGCAGAGCGGAGCUAAUGCUUCGGGCUCCGUCUACCUCACGGAGCUCCUUGGAGACCACAGUGCUGAGGACGCGUCUGAAACAUAGUUGUGUGCUGUGCACAGAGCGGGCACUUGGGGUGAGACAGCUCCCAACACGAAUGUACGAGGGGACCCGGAAGGCCUACAACACUGAUAUUUUCUCAUCAUCUUGCCUAAUUUUCUCCAACAUCAGGUGGAGAGGGGGAAAACUGCACUUUCAGAUGCAAACGUCUCUCUGAAGCACAGAAGCUUUAAACUGCCAGAUGAAGUACAGAAAGUGCUUGACAAUUUCCUUGAGACUUUCAUUCUCUGGGUUUAGAAUAUCACGCGUGAGUGUGUGUGUUGUGUGUGUGUUUUGAAUCCUGCUAUCAUGAGCAGCAGGUAGCAAAAUGUUGAUCUUUAAAGUGUUAGUAAAACAGCAUACAUUUGAAUAUUGGCUUUUUCUGCCAUCUGGACCAGUUGACACUGUUUUUCAUACCAGCUUAUUACAUUUCUUGUACAAACAUACUUUUGGGUGUCUCUGUUGAUUCAUGCUAUAGUUGCUCUGGUAUUUG
This 905-nucleotide long non-coding RNA is filed under the name Fukomys damarensis (Damara mole-rat). Its description in RNAcentral is "lncRNA (ENSFDAG00000025070.1)". The record is from RNAcentral. Lineage: Eukaryota; Metazoa; Chordata; Mammalia; Rodentia; Bathyergidae.